CAGACGGUGGAGAGGGUGUUCCUGUCGCAUUUGUGAUUUCACUCUAAAUAGGAAGGAAUCGGCGCUGGAUUGUUACACAACUGUUACACCAGUGAAGGAUGUCUGUGUGCCGCCUUGCAUUCAGUUUCUCAGUCAUGGGGGCCUGCUUGCAACACCAGUGGCAAAGCAGUCUUGCAUUGUGCUAUUUGUUCUGGAAGGACACAAGCAUUGAGGAGCCAUUUGACCUGCCACUACACUGAUACUGUACUUGGUAGGUUC
Long non-coding RNA from Dermacentor silvarum, 258 nucleotides. RefSeq lists it as uncharacterized. NCBI's taxonomy places the organism in Eukaryota, Metazoa, Arthropoda, Arachnida, Ixodida, Ixodidae. The transcript has 3 exons. The record is from RefSeq and is a predicted model, not a curated record.